GUUAUCAAGAGUGAUUGAGGGAACGGCCCGUUGAAAUCACAGCAACCUGCUUUGACAGUAAGGUGCUAAUACCGUCGGUAUUACCGAAUGAUGAG
RNAcentral lists this non-coding RNA (95 nucleotides) under uncultured Eubacterium sp. RNAcentral describes it as "SAM riboswitch (S box leader)". It matches the Rfam family "SAM riboswitch aptamer (S box leader)". Rfam says of the family: The SAM riboswitch is found upstream of a number of genes which code for proteins involved in methionine or cysteine biosynthesis in Gram-positive bacteria. The SAM riboswitch acts at the level of transcription termination control. The record is from RNAcentral. Lineage: Bacteria; Bacillati; Bacillota; Clostridia; Eubacteriales; Eubacteriaceae.